Molecule: ribosomal RNA, 1371 nt
Filed under: uncultured bacterium
Lineage: Bacteria
Description: bacterial SSU rRNA
Rfam family: Bacterial small subunit ribosomal RNA
Source: RNAcentral
GAUGAACGCUGGCGGCGUGCCUAAUACAUGCAAGUCGAGCGAACGGACGAGAAGCUUGCUUCUCUGAUGUUAGCGGCGGACGGGUGAGUAACACGUGGAUAACCUACCUAUAAGACUGGGAUAACUUCGGGAAACCGGAGCUAAUACCGGAUAAUAUUUUGAACCGCAUGGUUCAAAAGUAAAAGACGGUCUUGCUGUCACUUAUAGAUGGAUCCGCGCUGCAUUAGCUAGUUGGUAAGGUAACGGCUUACCAAGGCAACGAUGCAUAGCCGACCUGAGAGGGUGAUCGGCCACACUGGAACUGAGACACGGUCCAGACUCCUACGGGAGGCAGCAGUAGGGAAUCUUCCGCAAUGGGCGAAAGCCUGACGGAGCAACGCCGCGUGAGUGAUGAAGGUCUUCGGAUCGUAAAACUCUGUUAUUAGGGAAGAAUAUAUGUGUAAGUAACUGUGCACAUCUUGACGGUACCUAAUCAGAAAGCCACGGCUAACUACGUGCCAGCAGCCGCGGUAAUACGUAGGUGGCAAGCGUUAUCCGGAAUUAUUGGGCGUAAAGCGCGCGUAGGCGGUUUUUUAGUCUGAUGUGAAAGCCCACGGCUCAACCGUGGAGGGUCAUUGGAAACUGGAAAACUUGAGUGCAGAAGAGGAAAGUGGAAUUCCAUGUGUAGCGGUGAAAUGCGCAGAGAUAUGGAGGAACACCAGUGGCGAAGGCGACUUUCUGGUCUGUAACUGACGCUGAUGUGCGAAAGCGUGGGGAUCAAACAGGAUUAGAUACCCUGGUAGUCCACGCCGUAAACGAUGAGUGCUAAGUGUUAGGGGGUUUCCGCCCCUUAGUGCUGCAGCUAACGCAUUAAGCACUCCGCCUGGGGAGUACGACCGCAAGGUUGAAACUCAAAGGAAUUGACGGGGACCCGCACAAGCGGUGGAGCAUGUGGUUUAAUUCGAAGCAACGCGAAGAACCUUACCAAAUCUUGACAUCCUUUGACAACUCUAGAGAUAGAGCCUUCCCCUUCGGGGGACAAAGUGACAGGUGGUGCAUGGUUGUCGUCAGCCCGUGUCGUGAGACGUUGGGUUAAGUCCCGCAACGAGCGCAACCCUUAAGCUUAGUUGCCAUCAUUAAGUUGGGCACUCUAAGUUGACUGCCGGUGACAAACCGGAGGAAGGUGGGGAUGACGUCAAAUCAUCAUGCCCCUUAUGAUUUGGGCUACACACGUGCUACAAUGGACAAUACAAAGGGCAGCGAAACCGCGAGGUCAAGCAAAUCCCAUAAAGUUGUUCUCAGUUCGGAUUGUAGUCUGCAACUCGACUACAUGAAGCUGGAAUCGCUAGUAAUCGUAGAUCAGCAUGCUACGGUGAAUACGUUCCCGGGUCU